RNAcentral lists this ribosomal RNA (460 nucleotides) under uncultured bacterium. RNAcentral's name for it is "partial 16S ribosomal RNA". It matches the Rfam family "Bacterial small subunit ribosomal RNA", at positions 338 to 795 of the family's 1533-position model. The record is from RNAcentral.
CCUACGGGAGGCAGCAGUGAGGAAUAUUGGUCAAUGGCCGGAAGGCUGAACCAGCCAUGCCGCGUGAAGGUCAGUGCCCUAUGGGCGUUAAACUUCUUUUGUGCGGGAGCAAUACUGGUCACGUGUGGCCAGACGAGAGUACCGUACGAAUAAGCAUCGGCUAACUCCGUGCCAGCAGACGCGGUAAUACGGGGGAUGCAAGCGUGAUCAGGAUUUAGUGGGUUUAAAGGGUGCGUAGGCUGUGAGGUAAGUCAGCGGUGAAAUGCCCCCGGUCAACGGGGUGAAGUGCCAUUGAUACUGCCUUGCUGGAAUGCGGAUGCCGUGGGAGGAAUGUGUGGUGUAGCGGUGAAAUGCAUAGAUAUCACACAGAACACCGAUUGCGAAGGCAUCUCACGAAUCCGCGAUUGACGCUGAUGCACGAAAGCGUGGGUAUCAAACAGGAUUAGAUACCCGGGUAGUC